Molecule: ribosomal RNA, 2891 nt
Filed under: Pseudomonas syringae pv. tomato
Lineage: Bacteria; Pseudomonadati; Pseudomonadota; Gammaproteobacteria; Pseudomonadales; Pseudomonadaceae
Description: bacterial LSU rRNA
Rfam family: Bacterial large subunit ribosomal RNA
Source: RNAcentral
UCAAGUGAAGAAGCGCAUACGGUGGAUGCCUUGGCAGUCAGAGGCGAUGAAAGACGUGGUAGCCUGCGAAAAGCUUCGGGGAGUCGGCAAACAGACUGUGAUCCGGAGAUGUCUGAAUGGGGGAACCCAGCCAUCAUAAGAUGGUUAUCUUACACUGAAUACAUAGGUGUAAGAGGCGAACCAGGGGAACUGAAACAUCUAAGUACCCUGAGGAAAAGAAAUCAACCGAGAUUCCCUUAGUAGUGGCGAGCGAACGGGGACCAGCCCUUAAGUUGUAUUGAGAUUAGCGGAACGCUCUGGAAAGGGCGGCCAUAGUGGGUGAUAGCCCUGUACGCGAAAAUCCCUUUGCAAUGAAAUCGAGUAGGACGGGGCACGAGAAACCUUGUCUGAAUAUGGGGGGACCAUCCUCCAAGGCUAAAUACUACUGACUGACCGAUAGUGAACCAGUACCGUGAGGGAAAGGCGAAAAGAACCGCGGAGAGCGGAGUGAAAUAGAUCCUGAAACCGUAUGCGUACAAGCAGUGGGAGCCCACGUUGUUGGGUGACUGCGUACCUUUUGUAUAAUGGGUCAGCGACUUAUUUUCAGUGGCGAGCUUAACCGAAUAGGGGAGGCGUAGCGAAAGCGAGUCUUAAUAGGGCGUCUAGUCGCUGGGAAUAGACCCGAAACCGGGCGAUCUAUCCAUGGGCAGGUUGAAGGUUGGGUAACACUAACUGGAGGACCGAACCGACUACCGUUGAAAAGUUAGCGGAUGACCUGUGGAUCGGAGUGAAAGGCUAAUCAAGCUCGGAGAUAGCUGGUUCUCCUCGAAAGCUAUUUAGGUAGCGCCUCAUGUAUCACUGUAGGGGGUAGAGCACUGUUUCGGCUAGGGGGUCAUCCCGACUUACCAAACCGAUGCAAACUCCGAAUACCUACAAGUGCCGAGCAUGGGAGACACACGGCGGGUGCUAACGUCCGUCGUGAAAAGGGAAACAACCCAGACCGUCAGCUAAGGUCCCAAAGUCAUGGUUAAGUGGGAAACGAUGUGGGAAGGCUUAGACAGCUAGGAGGUUGGCUUAGAAGCAGCCACCCUUUAAAGAAAGCGUAAUAGCUCACUAGUCGAGUCGGCCUGCGCGGAAGAUGUAACGGGGCUCAAACCAUGCACCGAAGCUACGGGUAUCACCUUUGGUGAUGCGGUAGAGGAGCGUUCUGUAAGCCUGUGAAGGUGAGUUGAGAAGCUUGCUGGAGGUAUCAGAAGUGCGAAUGCUGACAUGAGUAACGACAAUGGGUGUGAAAAACACCCACGCCGAAAGACCAAGGUUUCCUGCGCAACGUUAAUCGACGCAGGGUUAGUCGGUCCCUAAGGCGAGGCUGAAAAGCGUAGUCGAUGGAAAACAGGUUAAUAUUCCUGUACUUCUGGUUAUUGCGAUGGAGGGACGGAGAAGGCUAGGCCAGCCUGGCGUUGGUAGUCCAGGUUUAAGGUGGUAGGCUGAGAUCUUAGGUAAAUCCGGGAUCUUAAGGCCGAGAGCUGAUGACGAGUGUUCUUUUAGAACAUGAAGUGGUUGAUGCCAUGCUUCCAAGAAAAGCUUCUAAGCUUCAGGUAACCAGGAACCGUACCCCAAACCGACACAGGUGGUUGGGUAGAGAAUACCAAGGCGCUUGAGAGAACUCGGGUGAAGGAACUAGGCAAAAUGGCACCGUAACUUCGGGAGAAGGUGCGCCGGUGAGGGUGAAGCAUUUACUGCGUAAGCCCACGCCGGUCGAAGAUACCAGGCCGCUGCGACUGUUUAUUAAAAACACAGCACUCUGCAAACACGAAAGUGGACGUAUAGGGUGUGACGCCUGCCCGGUGCCGGAAGGUUAAUUGAUGGGGUUAGCGCAAGCGAAGCUCUUGAUCGAAGCCCCGGUAAACGGCGGCCGUAACUAUAACGGUCCUAAGGUAGCGAAAUUCCUUGUCGGGUAAGUUCCGACCUGCACGAAUGGCGUAACGAUGGCGGCGCUGUCUCCACCCGAGACUCAGUGAAAUUGAAAUCGCUGUGAAGAUGCAGUGUAUCCGCGGCUAGACGGAAAGACCCCGUGAACCUUUACUAUAGCUUUGCACUGGACUUUGAAUUUGCUUGUGUAGGAUAGGUGGGAGGCUUUGAAGCGUGGACGCCAGUCUGCGUGGAGCCAACCUUGAAAUACCACCCUGGCAACUUUGAGGUUCUAACUCAGGUCCGUUAUCCGGAUCGAGGACAGUGUAUGGUGGGUAGUUUGACUGGGGCGGUCUCCUCCUAAAGAGUAACGGAGGAGUACGAAGGUGCGCUCAGACCGGUCGGAAAUCGGUCGUAGAGUAUAAAGGCAAAAGCGCGCUUGACUGCGAGACAGACACGUCGAGCAGGUACGAAAGUAGGUCUUAGUGAUCCGGUGGUUCUGUAUGGAAGGGCCAUCGCUCAACGGAUAAAAGGUACUCCGGGGAUAACAGGCUGAUACCGCCCAAGAGUUCAUAUCGACGGCGGUGUUUGGCACCUCGAUGUCGGCUCAUCACAUCCUGGGGCUGAAGCCGGUCCCAAGGGUAUGGCUGUUCGCCAUUUAAAGUGGUACGCGAGCUGGGUUUAGAACGUCGUGAGACAGUUCGGUCCCUAUCUGCCGUGGACGUUUGAGAUUUGAGAGGGGCUGCUCCUAGUACGAGAGGACCGGAGUGGACGAACCUCUGGUGUUCCGGUUGUCACGCCAGUGGCAUUGCCGGGUAGCUAUGUUCGGAAAAGAUAACCGCUGAAAGCAUCUAAGCGGGAAACUUGCCUCAAGAUGAGAUCUCACUGGAACCUUGAGUUCCCUGAAGGGCCGUCGAAGACUACGACGUUGAUAGGUUGGGUGUGUAAGCGCUGUGAGGCGUUGAGCUAACCAAUACUAAUUGCCCGUGAGGCUUGACCAU